Molecule: non-coding RNA, 23 nt
Filed under: Cricetulus griseus (Chinese hamster)
Lineage: Eukaryota; Metazoa; Chordata; Mammalia; Rodentia; Cricetidae
Source: RNAcentral
AGGCAUUGCGCUGAGCUCUGAGG